RNAcentral lists this ribosomal RNA (253 nucleotides) under uncultured bacterium. RNAcentral's name for it is "partial 16S ribosomal RNA". It matches the Rfam family "Bacterial small subunit ribosomal RNA", at positions 524 to 776 of the family's 1533-position model. The record is from RNAcentral.
UACGGAGGGUGCAAGCGUUAUCCGGAUUCACUGGGUUUAAAGGGUGCGUAGGAGGGCAGGUAAGUCAGUGGUGAAAUCUCCAAGCUUAACUUGGAAACUGCCGUUGAUACUAUCUGUCUUGAAUAUUGUGGAGGUGAGCAGAAUAUGUCAUGUAGCGGUGAAAUGCUUAGAUAUGACAUAGAACACCAAUUGCGAAGGCAGCUCACUACACAAUCAUUGACUCUGAGGCACGAAAGCGUGGGGAUCAAACAGG